UACGAAGGGUGCAAGCGUUGUUCGGAAUUACUGGGCGUAAAGCGCGCGUAGGCGGCUUAGUAAGUUGGGAGUGAAAUCCCGGGGCUCAACCUCGGAAUUGCUUUCAAAACUGCUAAGCUAGAGUAUGGUAGGGGAUAGUGGAAUUCCUAGUGUAGAGGUGAAAUUCGUAGAUAUUAGGAGGAACACCAGUGGCGAAAGCGACUGUCUGGGCCAUUACUGACGCUGAGGCGCGAAAGCGUGGGGAGCAAACAGG
RNAcentral lists this ribosomal RNA (253 nucleotides) under uncultured bacterium. RNAcentral's name for it is "partial 16S ribosomal RNA". It matches the Rfam family "Bacterial small subunit ribosomal RNA", at positions 524 to 776 of the family's 1533-position model. The record is from RNAcentral.